RNAcentral lists this unclassified non-coding RNA (329 nucleotides) under fungal sp. Its description in RNAcentral is "partial internal transcribed spacer region". The stretch from base 1 to 46 matches the Rfam family "Eukaryotic small subunit ribosomal RNA", at positions 1786 to 1831 of the family's 1831-position model. Lineage: Eukaryota; Fungi. The record is from RNAcentral.
AAGUCGUAACAAGGUAACCGUAGGUGAACCUGCGGUUGGAUCAUUAACAAAUCCAAUUUUGCGCUUCUUAGCGCAUCCAACAUUUUGUGCACUGUAAUUGUCUUUGGCGGGUUGUGUUGCUUGCUUGAGAUGGGGAAAUUUCCUCAGCUCACAAGACGUCUGUCGUAUACCAAACAUGGUGACAGCCAGCCCGUCCGUCACUCCUACACCAAGGUUUGGCAACAACUAAACGCAAUGAAUUUUUUUUUCUAUAUCUUAAUCCUUUCCACGAAAGCGGAAUUGUAUAUGAUAAUUAAAAACAACUUUUGACAACGGAUCUCUUGGCUCUU